RNAcentral lists this ribosomal RNA (305 nucleotides) under uncultured bacterium. RNAcentral's name for it is "bacterial SSU rRNA". It matches the Rfam family "Bacterial small subunit ribosomal RNA", at positions 337 to 635 of the family's 1533-position model. The record is from RNAcentral.
ACCUACGGGAGGCAGCCGUAGGGAAUUUUCGUCAAUGGGCGCAAGCCUGAACGAGCAAUGCCGCGUGAACGAGGAAGGUCUUCGGAUCGUAAAGUUCUGUUGAAGGGGAAAAAGAGCGGAGAGAGGAAAUGGUCUCCGAUUGAUAUUACCCUUCGAGGAAGUCACGGCUAACUACGUGCCAGCAGCCGCGGUAAUACGUAGGUGGCGAGCGUUAUCCGGAAUGAUUGGGCGUAAAGGGUGCGUAGGCGGCCUGCUAAGUCUGGAGUGAAAGGUACCGGCCCAACCGGUACACGCUCUGGAAACUG